RNAcentral lists this ribosomal RNA (1427 nucleotides) under metagenome. RNAcentral's name for it is "bacterial LSU rRNA". It matches the Rfam family "Bacterial large subunit ribosomal RNA", at positions 1489 to 2925 of the family's 2925-position model. The record is from RNAcentral.
ACCCUCUUAAUGGAUUGAGGGCGAAGCGAAGCGGCUGGUUACCAGGCAAAUCCGGUAACCUUAAGGCUAGAGCGUGACAGGUAAGCGAAAUCUAAGGAAAGUAGCGAAGCACAUGAUGACGGCUUCCAGGAAAAGCUUCUGGCAAUGCAUAUGCGGCCCGUACCAAAACCGACACAGGUGGGCAGGGAGAGAAUCCCGAGGUGAGCGAGAGAACUGUUGCCAAGGAACUCGGCAAAAUGACUCCGUAAGUUAGCGAGAAGGAGUGCUUAAGCAAUUAAGCCGCAGUGAAGAGGCCCAAGCGACUGUUUAACUAAAACACAGCUCUCUGCGAAGUCGCAAGACGAAGUAUAGGGGGUGACACCUGCCCGGUGCUGGAAGGUUAAGAGGAUCUGUUAAGAGCGAUCUGAAGCAGUGAUCCGAAGCCCCAGUGAACGGCGGCCGUAACUAUAACGGUCCUAAGGUAGCGAAAUUCCUUGUCAGGUAAGUUCUGACCCGCACGAAAGGUGUAACGAUUUGGGCGCUGUCUCGGCAGCAGACUCGGUGAAAUCUUAGUACCUGUGAAAAUGCAGGUUACCCGCAACUAGACGGAAAGACCCCAUGGAGCUUUACUGCAGCCUGAUAUUGAAUUCUGGUCAUACAUGUACAGGAUAGGUGGGAGACAAAGAGACGUGCACGCCAGUGUACGAGGAGUCGACGUUGAGAUACCACUCUUGUGUGGCCGGGGUUCUAACCUGGUAUCGAGAACAGGUACGGGGAGAGUGUCAGGUGGGCAGUUUGACUGGGGCGGUCGCCUCCCAAAGAGUAACGGAGGCGCCCAAAGGUACGCUCAGAUUGGAUGGAAACCAAUCGACGAGUGCAAUUGCAGAAGCGUGCUUGACUGUGAGACAAACAAGUCGAACAGGGACGAAAGUCGGGAAUAGUGAUCCGGCGGUGCCGAAUGGAAGGGCCGUCGCUCAACGGAUAAAAAGCUACCCUGGGGAUAACAGGCUGAUCUCGCCCAAGAGUUCACAUCGACGGCGAGGUUUGGCACCUCGAUGUCGGCUCAUCGCAUCCUGGAGCUGGAUUCGGUUCCAAGGGUUGGGCUGUCCGCCCAUUAAAGCGGUACGCGAGCUGGGUUCAGAACGUCGUGAGACAGUUCGGUCCCUAUCUGUUGUGGGCGAAGGAGAUCUGCGGAGAGCUGUCCUCAGUACGAGAGGACCGGGAUGGACCUACCGCUGGUGCACCGGUUGUUCCGCCAGGGGCAUAGCCGGGUAGCUAAGUAGGGAAAGGAUAAGCGCUGAAAGCAUCUAAGCACGAAGCCUACUCCAAGAUGAGAUCUCCCAUUCGCAAGAAGUAAGACCCCUUAAAGACGAUAAGGUAGAUAGGCCAGGGAUGGAAGUGCAGUGAUGUACGGAGUUGACUGGUACUAAUCGGUCGAGGACUUAAUC